Molecule: ribosomal RNA, 468 nt
Filed under: uncultured bacterium
Lineage: Bacteria
Description: partial 16S ribosomal RNA
Rfam family: Bacterial small subunit ribosomal RNA
Source: RNAcentral
GACGAACGCUGGCGGCGUGCUUAACACAUGCAAGUCGAACGGAAAGGCCCUGCUCUUGUGGGGUGCUCGAGUGGCGAACGGGUGAGUAACACGGGAGUAACCUGCCCUUGACUUUGGGAUAACUUCAGGAAACUGGGGAGAAUACCGGAUAGGAUCUCCUGCUGCAUGGGGGGGGUUGGAAAGUUUCGGCGGUGUGGGCUGGAAUCGCGGCUUAUCAGCUUGUUUGUGUGGUAGUGGCUUACCAGGGCUUUGACGGGUAGCCGGCCUGAGAGGGUGACCGGCCACAUUGGGACUGAGAGACGGAGCAGACUCCUACGUGAGGCAGCAGUGGGGAGUCUUGCGCAAUGGGCGGACGCCUGUGGCAGCAACCCCGCGUUCGUGAUGACCGCUUUCUGGUUGUAAACCGCUUUCGCCUGUGACGAAGCGUGCGUGACGGUAAUGGGUAAAGAAGCCCCGGCUAACUACGUG